CCCUUAGAUGUUCUGGGCAGCACGCGCGCUACAAUGGUCUUCGCAAACGGAUGCAUUCUCGAAGGAGAAUUCCAAUCUUGGAAUCUAUGCCUUGGUCGGGACAGUUGCUUGCAAUUUUUCGACUCGAACCAGGAAUUCCUUGUAAUCGUGAUUCAUCACAUCACGAUGAAUACGUCCCUGCCCUUUGUACACACCGCCCGUCGCUCCUACCGAUCGAAGAGUUAGGUGAAUUGUUUUGAUCGAUAAGAUUUGACUAUGGUCAACUCUCGUUGUGAAAUUCUGUGAAUCUGACUGUUUAGAGGAAGGAAAAGUCGUAACA
Molecule: ribosomal RNA, 319 nt
Filed under: uncultured eukaryote
Lineage: Eukaryota
Description: partial 18S ribosomal RNA
Rfam family: Eukaryotic small subunit ribosomal RNA
Source: RNAcentral